UGGAAGGAAGCAUUGUGACCUCAUUCCUGUUCACACCUGCUGCCCUGAAAUUCUACCUUCGGCUUCAAGAGAUGGUCUACUUCCGCCCUUCUGUUAUAACACUAAUGUGUUCAACUUCCUAAAACCUGUAGAGCCAUGAUGGAGUUCUGGAGGAAAUGUUCCACUGAGGAGAGCCACAAGGAGGAGAAGCAGAACACGGAUAAGAGAACCCAAGGUGCAUCUUCUACAGGGAACAUUAUAUUGCAUGCACCUGCCCUACCUGAAGAGGGCUAGAACGUGAGGCUGUGGGACAGCAGGGGCAGGACAGCCACCGGGCCCUGCAAGGCUGUAUAAGGCAGUCGUCCCAGGCAGAGGUGAGCCGGCACCAGAGCACAGAGCCUUCUGAUUCCAAAGCCAGUACUUUCUCCACCAGCCAUUCUGUACCAUUACUGGUAACCCCAGUCCUUGUGCUGGAGGCCCCCAAAUUCCAACAUGCCUCCUACAAAUAGACCCAACAUAAUCACAGGGUCCUUAAGUGAAAGAGGGAGGCAGAGGAGGGAGAACCAGACCCCUGGCACCUGAGAACCUAGCCUGCCAUUGCUGGCUUUGAAGAUGAAGGACGGGAGCAACAAGUCAAGAAAUGCGAGUGGUUUCUAGAAGCUGGAAAAGGCAAGGAGGUGAAUCCUCCCUUAAAAUCUCCAUAAGGAACUCUGCCCUGCUGACACCUUGAUUUUAGCCCAGCGACACCCAUUUUGGACUUUGGGCCUCCAGAACUGGGAGACAAAAAUUGUGUGUUGGUUGAAGCCAUUGUGUUUGUGGAUACGUAGAAAACCCUGUCAGAAACUUUGUUUCUCAACCUCCGUACUAUUGACACUUGGGACUGGAAAAUUCUGUUGUGGGAGCAGUCCUGUGAACUGUAGGAUAUUUAGUAGGAUUCCUAGCCUCUACCCGCAAGAUGCUAAUAGAGACCCUUGCCAAAGUUGUAACAACCAAGAAAGUCUCCAGACAUUGCCCUGAGUGGGACAGAAGGGGGAAAAUCACCCCUGGCCCAGAAGAGCUGUUCUGAACCCUCCAUGGUUAUUCAUUCCAAUACACACUUUGUCCUCAGACACAUUGGAUUCUGUUCACUGACCUUUUCUAUAUGGAUGCUUCUGGAUGAGGCCUUUGAUGCCAGCUGAAAAGUAAGUGCCUAGGGAGAUUCCACACAAAGCCGUCAUCAGUCUCUGACACCUCAGAAUGAGUUUCCAUUAUUUCAAGCAAGCUGAAUUGAUGGGGAGAGAAAAAGGGAUCUGAAUGUGCUAUUAAGUAAAGAGGACACAGAACUAACAUCCAGAUGGAUAAAAGACAGACUGCCCACCCCAUGCAAUACUCUUUAUCAUUCGAGCUGGACAAGAACAUGCACUUGAGUAAGAUGUAAUUUCUGCUCUUAGGACCUCACUGUCUCAUAAGAGAAACUUGUGUGCAAUUUUUUUAAAAACCCUCAAUAGAAACCAAAAGGACUAUAAACACACUAUGGUCAUGUAUUCUGAAUCAGGUAUCCAUGCCCUGGGCACAAGCUUCAAGAACGCAUAACAGUAGGACCAAAUAUUUUAAAUCAACACUACCUCAGAAUAUGGGGCCAUGCCACCUGUAAAAGGCAUAUGCAAAUUGCCACCAGAAGUUUCCAGGGCAGAGACCUAGGUAUGGGCAAGAGGAGGAGGGAACCACAACCCACGUAAGAGAAACGUGUGCACAAAGAUGAAGGAUAGGAAAGCAUAUGGCACACUAUUUGGAAUUAACCAGCAAUUCCAGAUAGAUGUAGCUGUUUGAAGAUAAUUCCAAAUAUACAUUAUUAAACUUCAAAGAAUAAAUAAAACAGAAAUGAUUUUUAUCAUUUCUGGGUUAGGCGUCUGGCUCUUGAGUUCAGCUCAGGUCAUGAUCUCACAGUUCAUGGGAUUGAGCCCUGCAUAAGGCUCAGCGCUGACAGUGUGGAGCCUCCUUGGGAUUCUCUCUCACUCU
This is a long non-coding RNA of Acinonyx jubatus (cheetah), 1977 nucleotides long. RefSeq lists it as uncharacterized. Lineage: Eukaryota; Metazoa; Chordata; Mammalia; Carnivora; Felidae. The transcript is spliced from 3 exons. The record is from RefSeq and is a predicted model, not a curated record.